Long non-coding RNA from Fundulus heteroclitus (mummichog), 487 nucleotides. RefSeq lists it as uncharacterized. The record is from RefSeq and is a predicted model, not a curated record. The transcript is spliced from 3 exons. Lineage: Eukaryota; Metazoa; Chordata; Actinopteri; Cyprinodontiformes; Fundulidae.
GCCUGUCGAGGCAGACCAGGGGUCAUCCGAACAAGUGGACCCCCCAGAAGAUGAGGAUGAAGACUCAUCCUCUGAGGAGCCAAAGAAGGCUGCAAAAUCGCGAUUCCCAUUGAGGGGAUUCAAAGAUUUUCCUCAACCCAUCCUGGAGUUCAUGGAGGAGUACUGGUUACACUUGAGGGGGUCCAUCGGGACCAAAAAACACGUGGAAAACCAGAAGUCCAAAUUGGGACGGGUAAUGUCCUUCCUUAGAUUUGUGAACAAGGGAAGGACAAUACUCCCCAAUUGGACUUUUCUGCAGGACCUUGAUCGAGUUCAUCAGUGGCCGGCGAAGCUCCUCAGAGAGGGGAAGGCAGAAAACACCACUAGGAAUUACCUCCUGAAUGUGAUGGAGUUCGCGGGCUACUUUCGGGACACGCCACCAAGCACCUCGCGUGUCCCGAAAAAGGCAGUGAUUGGCCUCCUAAGAGCAGUGUCCGCUGAUAUUAAA